This 74-nucleotide transfer RNA is filed under the name Bacteroidota bacterium. Its description in RNAcentral is "Bacteroidetes bacterium (bioreactor sludge metagenome) tRNA-Pro". It matches the Rfam family "tRNA". From Rfam's summary of the family: Transfer RNA (tRNA) molecules are approximately 80 nucleotides in length. Their secondary structure includes four short double-helical elements and three loops (D, anti-codon, and T loops). RNAcentral also lists the same sequence under 1 other name. Lineage: Bacteria; Pseudomonadati; Bacteroidota. The record is from RNAcentral.
CGGGAUGUAGCGUAGCUCGGUAGCGCGCCUCGUUCGGGACGAGGAGGUCGCUGGUUCAAAUCCAGUCAUCCCGA